This 207-nucleotide ribosomal RNA is filed under the name uncultured bacterium. RNAcentral describes it as "partial 16S ribosomal RNA". It matches the Rfam family "Bacterial small subunit ribosomal RNA", at positions 328 to 545 of the family's 1533-position model. The record is from RNAcentral.
ACGCUCGACACCUACGGGAGCAGCAGUGGGGAAUAUUGCACAAUGGGGGAAACCCUGAUGCAGCAACGCCGCGUGAAGGAAGACGGUUUUCGGAUUGUAAACUUCUGUUCUUAGUGAAGAUAGUGACGGUAGCUAAGGAGCAAGCCACGGCUAACUACGUGCCAGUAGCCGCCGGUAAGUACUUGAGGCGGGCCGUGGCGAAGGACG